GAAGAAAGAGGGAGGAGUGAUUAACACAUGCAAGUCGAACGCUGAAGCUCAGCUUUUGUUGGGUGGAUGAGUGGCGAACGGGUGAGUAACACGUGAGUAACCUGCCUCCUUCUUUGGGAUAACGCCCGGAAACGGGUGCUAAUACUGGAUAUUCACUGGUCUUCGCAUGGGGGUUGGUGGAAAGGGUUUUUCUGGUGGGGGAUGGGCUCGCGGCCUAUCAGCUUGUUGGUGGGGUGAUGGCCUACCAAGGCUUUGACGGGUAGCCGGCCUGAGAGGGUGACCGGUCACAUUGGGACUGAGAUACGGCCCAGACUCCUACGGGAGGCAGCAGUGGGGAAUAUUGCACAAUGGGCGCAAGCCUGAUGCAGCGACGCCGCGUGAGGGAUGGAGGCCUUCGGGUUGUGAACCUCUUUCGCUCAUGGUCAAGCCGCAACAAUGGUUGUGGUGAGGGUAGUGGGUAAAGAAGCGCCGGCUAACUACGUG
Molecule: ribosomal RNA, 483 nt
Filed under: uncultured bacterium
Lineage: Bacteria
Description: partial 16S ribosomal RNA
Rfam family: Bacterial small subunit ribosomal RNA
Source: RNAcentral